GUUUGGAAUAGGAGAAUUUAAUCUUGAAAGGUUUACUUUUUUUUUGAAAAGUCAAGAAAUUUUCAGUCUGACGCUAAAGUUUGGACAGAAUACUAAAGAAUGGGACUGCAUGGGCAUCUUAAAGAGUCAGGGAAGACAUGAGAUGUAUGCAAACAGGUUCAAUGGUCUCAUAAAUCCUGUGAUUGGCUGGGUUUUCCCAUGAUCUUUCCAAAGAAAAAAGGAAAGAGAAUGAAAAACAAAACAGAGAGUGACAACAAAAACAGCCUAAAAUUCUCCUACCCAAAGGAACAGUCCAAAAUAGACCUUUGCAAGAAGAUAAGGAAAUGGGAUCUUGCUGGUAAGACUAUUUUGAUAUCUUGAGUAGAGUGUGCACAGUUUAGUGUAUUAGGAGUUCCGAGUUGCCCCAAACAGAUGAGGAACAGAAGGGUCAGGUGCUCAAGUUGUUGCCGUCCCCUUUGUCACCUGUAGAACAUUAGCGUCCCCAGUGAUCAUUUUUACUAUCUGUUAGGGACAUCACCAUGUGCUUUGUAAUGGACCAAUUCCAGAUUGUCUAAAGGACAGUGUUAUAGUUCUUGGGCCCCCAAACUCCCUUUCAUUCAGGGAUGUCAAAUUGUCAGUUGCCAAGGCUGCCUGCCUGGUCAAUAUCUAUGACAUCAGAAAUGGUGACAACCUGGGAGAAUCUUUGUCCAGGUCUUGUGAAGAGACUGUCUUGAUGUUGCUGCUGAGACAGUGGGCUCAUAGCUCAGGUUAAAUCUGGUUAAUGGGGUUGUUCAAAAUGAGAGUCGACAUUUACUGAGCACUUGCCAUGUGCCAGGCUUCAUGAUGAGUUCGUCGCAGACGCCAGGCCAUUUAAUCUUUACAGCAGCUCUAGGAGAAGCAGGGGAUUCACCUCCCGGCAGGGCUGCGGCAGACCCUUCUCUUUCAAGUCGGGUAAAUGCAGACUCCCGCGGCAUCGGGAGAGUAGAUCCAAUGGUCUCACAAGAAAAAGCUUGCCACCCCUGGUGUGGAUAAAGAUGUGCUUGGUAAAUAGAAUGGAAGCAAAGGGGAGAAAAGUGGAAAAAGAGGAAGGUUUUCAAGAAGAGCAAGGACAAAAGAAAGGGUUACUAAGUGAAAGACAUAGUUUGGAGAUGCUGAGGUUCCCCAGGAGGAUGCCUGAGAAUGACAUCAACAGAGAGGAAAGCAAAACCUAGGGAUGGAGAAGGACCAAGUGCUAGUAAUGUCUCUUGGAUCCAUGAGCCACUGGCCAUGCUGGUGGCCAGCCUAACCGCUGGUCUCCUUAGUUACAUGCGCCAAUCAACUCCCCUUCCCUUUUUAAGCCAGUGUGAAUUGGGUUUCUGUCACUUGCAAUGGAAACAGUCUUGAGGAUUACACAGGGCCACUGAGAGGUUUUAAGGCAAAUAUCAAUAUGAUCAGAUACAAUUACUGGGUCUAAGACUGAAGGCAGGAAGAUGAGUAUGAAGGCUAUUGUCCUUGUCCCGAGGAAAUACAGUGCAAGCUGGCCUUGGGCAAUGGUAGGGGACAGUGAAGGGGACAGAUUUGGGAAAUGGUUAGGAGGUAAAGCCAGCAGUGCUUAUGGUUGCUAAUUUUAUCCGGGUUAAUGGCCACACUCCACAGCCCUGCUUGCAGCAGGAACAGUCACGUGACUAAGCAGGAGCUGGUGGGAAGUGUGCAGAAGUGAUGUGUGCAAUCCCCUGGGCGUGUCUUUGAAAGGAAGCUGCUUAUCCUCUACUUCUAUUUGUCUUCCUCUUCCUCCUCCCCUGACUGUUGAUGGGCUGAAAUAUGGACGUGGUGACUGUCGGCAAGCUGAGCCAUGAAGAUGAAGCCAAUGCUCUAGGAAUGACAGUGCUCCAAAACCCUGGGUUCUGAUGGCCUCAUGGAACAAAACUGCCUACCUUCCUGACCACUUGCCACCUUUGCCUUUUAAUGAGAGAGAAUGGAAACUUUUAUCUUGUUUAAGCCACUGUUUCUCUGUCUCUCAAGGCAGCUGAGACAUUAUCCUAAUUAACGUGGUAGCCAUUUAAAUCUAGAGGGUGAGGAGGAGGAAGACGUCCAGAGGGAAGGGUAGCUGGGCAGAUCUGUAUUUCAGAAAGAUUGCUGUGGUGGAGAGCAGAUUUGGAGGGUGGCACUAACUGAUGACAUGGAGGCCAGUGUAGUGGUCCAAGGGGGAGAAAAUGGCAUUUGGAACUAGGGUAGUGGUAGAUGGGACAGAAGAAGAUACGUGGAUGGACUAGAAAUACGUUUAGGAGUUAGAACCCAUGGGAUAUGAUGACUAUGAUUGACUAUGAUUGACUAUGGGGUGAGGGGAAAGAAAGAUUCAAGCUGCCUUAUGCCAUUGUCUAGAAGAUGGCACCAUUUAUUGAGUUUGGGACCAAAGGGGUGGGACAGGUUUGAAGGGGAAGAAAAUGAAGUCAAGUUGGGACACACUGAGUUUGAGAUGUGACAUCCAAGAGGGCAUGUCCCCUAGGCUUUAGGCUACAGGGGCCCAAAGCUAAGCAGAGAAAGUGGAACUAGAGGGAAAGAUGGCAGAAGAUAAAUGGCAGUGGAAUUCAAGAGUACUGAUGGAAUCGCCCAAGAAGGGGACAAGGUCUAGAGCACAGCCUCAAGAGAGCAACAUUUAUGCAAAAGAAACAUCUGAGAGAGAGACUGAGAAGGAGUGGCCAGAGACGUAGGGGGAAGAUGGAAUAGGAAAAGGUGGAUUUUGCAAGGAGGAGGUGGGUUAGAAAUAGCCUGCUGCUGAGAGGCUAAAGGAGAAAGCUUCUGGAAGUGUCCAGUAGAUUUGGUAACAAAGGAGUUGACGACCUUGACAAGGGUAAUUUUAGGGGAGUGGUCAGGGCAGAAACCAACUGGGAGUGCUUUGAAAGUGAGUGGGGUAAGAUAGAGAAGACAGAGUGAAGACAACCCCUUCAAGAAGUUGGUUAUAAACAGAAAGCAAGGAAUUAGGUGUCUGUUGGCAGAUGGCAUUCGAUUCCAGUGGUUUACUGAGGACCUGCUCUGUACUCAGCACCGUGCUAAAUGCUGCAAGGGAGCCAGGAUACAGAACAUGGAGCCCAGAAUGGAGACUAUAGGAAGCAGAGUUCUUGUUCCUUCCCACCAUGCUUGCCAGGACUUCCCUAAGGACAUCCAACUGGUACAGAGGAUGACUGCUGUGCUGGCGGAGGUAACAUCAAGAGACAGGAGCUUGUCAUUGGGGGCCCUGGAGACAGAGAUCAGAAGCUCAAAUGACUACAAGGAAGAUAUUUGGAGCCAACAUCACGACCUAUUCAGAACCCUGCUCUGGAGUCAGGCUGCCUGGGCUCGGAUCCCAGCUCUGCCACUUACGUUGAGCUUGGUUUUCAGCAAGUUGCCUAACUUCCCAGGGCCUCAGUGUGUCUUUAUACGCCACUGGCAGCUUAGAGUGCUAAGAAACUGGGUGGCAUUUGCCGAUUGAUGGCCCGGAAAUUGUGCCUCCUACUUUGUAGGGUUUUUUGGAG
This 3470-nucleotide long non-coding RNA is filed under the name Equus caballus (horse). Its description in RNAcentral is "lncRNA (ENSECAG00000055733.1)". Lineage: Eukaryota; Metazoa; Chordata; Mammalia; Perissodactyla; Equidae. The record is from RNAcentral.